GCUGUCUAGUAUAGCAAUUAUACGGCGAAACUGCGAAUGGCUCAUUAAAUCAGUUAUCGUUUAUUUGAUAGUACCUUACUACUUGGAUAACCGUGGUAAUUYUAGAGCUAAUMCAUGCUUAAAACCCCGACUUCACGAAGGGGUGUAUUUAUUAGAUUAAAAACCAAUGCCCUUCGGGGCUYUUUGGUGAUUCAUAAUAACUUUUCGAAUCGCAUGGCCUUGCGCCGGCGAUGGUUCAUUCAAAUUUCUGCCCUAUCAACUUUCGAUGGCAGGGUCUUGGCCUGCCAUGGUGACAACGGGUAACGGAGGGUUAGGGCUCGACCCCGGAGAAGGAGCCUGAGAAACGGCUACUACAUCCAAGGAAGGCAGCAGGCGCGCAAAUUACCCAAUCCCGACUCGGGGAGGUAGUGACAAUAAAUACUGAUACAGGGCUCUUUUGGGUCUUGUAAUUGGAAUGAGUACAAUUUAAAUCCCUUAACGAGGAACAAUUGGAGGGCAAGUCUGGUGCCAGCAGCCGCGGUAAUUCCAGCUCCAAUAGCGUAUAUUAAAGUUGUUGCAGUUAAAAAGCUCGUAGUUGAACCUUGGGCCUGGCUGGCCGGUCCGCCUCACCGCGUGCACUGGUUCGGCCGGGCCUUUCCCUCUGGGGAACCGCAUGCCCUUCACUGGGUGUGUCGGGGAACCAGGACUUUUACUGUGAAAAAAUUAGAGUGUUCAAAGCAGGCCUAUGCUCGAAUACAUUAGCAUGGAAUAAUAGAAUAGGACGUGUGGUUCUAUUUUGUUGGUUUCUAGGACCGCCGUAAUGAUUAAUAGGGACAGUCGGGGGCAUCAGUAUUCAAUUGUCAGAGGUGAAAUUCUUGGAUUUAUUGAAGACUAACUACUGCGAAAGCAUUUGCCAAGGAUGUUUUCAUUAAUCAGGAACGAAAGUUAGGGGAUCGAAGACGAUCAGAUACCGUCGUAGUCUUAACCAUAAACUAUGCCGACUAGGGAUCGGGCGAUGUUAUUAUUUGACUCGCUCGGCACCUUACGAGAAAUCAAAGUCUUUGGGUCUGGGGAGUCUCC
This 1059-nucleotide ribosomal RNA is filed under the name Phyllostachys heteroclada. RNAcentral's name for it is "SSU rRNA". It matches the Rfam family "Eukaryotic small subunit ribosomal RNA", at positions 53 to 1139 of the family's 1831-position model. Lineage: Eukaryota; Viridiplantae; Streptophyta; Magnoliopsida; Poales; Poaceae. The record is from RNAcentral.